Molecule: long non-coding RNA, 4998 nt
Filed under: Sus scrofa (pig)
Lineage: Eukaryota; Metazoa; Chordata; Mammalia; Artiodactyla; Suidae
Description: lncRNA (ENSSSCG00025058556.1)
Source: RNAcentral
ACAUUCCUCUUCAUUUGCAUCACAUGCUGGUUAAUUUGAGCCCUCUCUUUCCUUAGGAAGGACACUGGAUUGCUGACUCCAUGAAUGCUGACAUAUUUCCUACAUCCUGCUUCAUGAGGAGUAAUAAAGCCAGUGCUGUUGCAAGUGCCUCACUGAAACAAAACAAGAGCUAAGGAAAAAUGCCCAAUGGGGUCCCGAUUCAUUGACAUGUGAUACGUCCUUUAACUGAUGAGAAGGAAAAUCAAAAUGGGACUUUUCAAAAGCAGAGUUAUCUGUGCAUUUUGUCACCAGGACUGCUUUCAAAUUAGUUCCUGCAGUAAAAAUGCAGCUCUACAUCUUGAUUCUAAACAUGCUGCAAUUACAUUCAGCAAACACAAGGUUAAGCCAAGCUCUUCAGGGGACUACACCUCUAAGAAAGACAACUAGACUAUCGCCCCCAGAGGCUUAAGCACAACCAACCAUUUGGUGAGCUUUACUUCUUAUUUGCUGAAACUAAUUACAGAAUUUGAAAUAAAUGCAGUAGUCACCUAGUCCUUGCAAGUAAAAGUUAUCCUGAUAAAUGCUUUACUAAAAUGUCCAUUCUCUGGCUACCCUCCUAUCUGACAUUUGACUGAGCCCUGACAGUUAACUGGUGUGCAAAGCACAUUUCUAUUGAGAGGCCAUUCCUAAAACACUAAAAUCCUAAAAACAGAAAUUCAAGAAAGCUGCCACCAGAUAUCUCUGGCAACAACCAUCUCUGUUUCCUUUGUUUCUAUUACAUUUGCCUAAGUAUUUAGAUUUGAGACCCCAGAGUCUUUUUGUCUACUUCCUCACCCCAACCUUUACAUUUAGUUAGUCAUUGAGUCCUUAUUAAAUCUAUAAUGAUUUACAAUUACUAUUGCCUGUACAGCAAUGACUGAAUGUACCUCAUACUUUCAACUAUCACUGCAAUCAACUGGUUCCAGGAUCUCAUCAAGCUACUAAUCAAAACUUCAGAUACUGGGAGUUCCCGUGGUGGCACAGCAGAAGUGAAUCCAACUAGGAACCAUGAGGUUGUGGGUUUGAUCCCUGGCCUCGUUCAGUGGGUUAAGGAUCUCGCCAUGAGCUGUGGUGUAGGUCGCAGAUGCAGCUCAGAUCUGGCAUUGCUGUAGCUCUGGUGUAGGUGGGCCAGCAGCAACAGCUCUGAUUAGACCCUUCACCUGGGAACCUCCAUAAGCCACAGGCGUGGCCUUAUAAAGACAAAAAGACCAAAAACAAAACAAAAAAAAAAAAAACGCAAAACUUCAGAUACUGAAAUAACUCCAUAGUGCCACAAGAUUGAGUUUGCCAAAUAACACUUUCUCAUUAAUAAUGGCUCUCUCUUGUCUUAAAGGCUUACCACAGUUUGGCCCUAAUAUCCCUUUUCUACAUUAAUGUCUUACCACUCCCAUGUUUCUCUUGCAUCUCAACUUUUCCUCCAUGAACAAGAUAAUUAUUUGUUAAUUACUUGUCUUUUUUAGCCUCCACAUUUGCACAGUGAAUAUAAAAUUGAGAUUCUCCAAGUGGAAAUACACCUAGAAUUCCUUUUCCAUUCUUUCUCAUCUUUUAUAAAUCAUUAUUUUUACACAACUAUAUUAUGUUUUAUUUCCUCUAUAAAUUUUUGGAGACUUUAUUUAUUAUCUGAAGUUUAGGUUUAUAACAAAAAUGAGAGGGAGACAGAUUUCUUAUAUAUUCCUUGCCCCCACAGAUGCAUAACUUCUCCUAUUAUCAACAUCAUUCACAGAAUGACAUAUUUUUUUUCAAGGAUGAACCUAUAUCAACUCAUCAAAAUCUCCCAAAGUCCAUAAUUUACUUAGGGUUCACUCUUGGUGUUUCGUAUUCCAUGGGUUUGGACAAAAAUAUAAUGACAUAAUUACAAAAUACCCCUCACCUACCCCAGCAACCACUGAUCUCUUUAUUAUCUCCAAAGCUUUGCCUUUUCAAAAAUGUCAUAUAGUUGGAAUUACACAGCCAUCUCACAGUUCUUGGCUAUUCUGUUUUUUUGCUGUUGUUUUUUGUUUUUUUUCCUUGUUUUUUUUUUGUUUGUUUGUUUGUUUGUUUUUUCCCCUAGUCUUUGUUCUUGCUUUUCAGUUUUUGAGGAUUCUAUUGAUGUAUCCUCUAACUCAGAGAUUGUUUCCUCAACCAUGCCCAGUCUAAUAAUAAGAUCAUCAAAGGCAUUCUUCAGUUCUGUUACACUGUUUGUUUGUUGGUUUGUUUGAUCUCUAGCAUUUCUUUUUGGUCCUUUCUUAAGAUUGCCAUCCCUCUGCUUACUUUGACCAUCUGUUCUUACAUGCUAUCUGUUUUAUCUACUAGAGCACUUAGCAUAUUAAUCAUAGCUGUUUUAAAUUCCCAGUCUGGUAAUACAAACAUCCCUGCUAUGUCUCCUUCUGUCUCUUCAGAACAUGAUUUUUACAUGCUUUAUAAUUGUUUUCUUGGUAUUCAGAGGGCGUGUUAGGUAAAAGGAGGGGGUUAGAUAGGCCUUUAGUAAUAUAGUGAGGAGACAGAAAGUGUUCUAUAGUCCUAUGAUUAGAUCUUAGUUUUAGUGAGCCUGUGUUACUGAACUCUGAACACCACAAGUGUUUCUGUUUUUAUCUCCCCCUUUUAGUGGGAUGGGAUGUCUAGAGUGGGCUAGAGUUGGGUAUUUACCUUCCAUAGGUCAGUUAGGUUCCAAUGAUUACCUAGCAGGUUAGACUCUAGUCAACUAACUUCCACUAAGAGAACUUGUUAAGAAGAAUGGUGCAUUUCAAAAUGGUUCUACUUCCUGCCCCUGCUAGAAGUCUAAGGGGAUUUUUCUCCCCUAUUUAAAAUGGACAUUGGAUUGAGCUUCUGGAGGUAAAUCUCACAGCAUUGUAUGAGCUCCUCUAUGACUGGGUGCCUCUGAAGAGUUGAUUUUUCACUCUCUUCAGUGUUUUACUUGUUGUUAGCACAGAGUGGUAACUUCCAAGUUCCUUAUUUGUGGAGCAGGAAAACAUGUUUAUGAAUCUUUUUAUGACACCUGCCCCAUAGACAUAUAAAUACAUACUAUUCUACCAUCCAUUAUUUAUCUUACAGUUUCUUGUACAUAUACCAGGCAGGGUGCUAGGUGCUGGCGAUAUAAAGAAGGAUGAGAUGCAGUGCUUGCCCUUACAGGGAUUAGAGUCCAUUCUGGGAAUGCCUGUGACAUUUACUAUCUGCACCACUCUUUUAGCAUUUAUAAGGUUUGAGCUAGGAACCGCUAACUUAUAGCUCUAUAUAUCUUUGUAAAAUACAAUGCAACAAAUUACAAAAAAAUUGGCAGUCAAUAAAGACUUUGUCAAUAAGUGAAUACUUAUUUAUUUAUUAUAAAGUCUAAAUACUAAAGUUGAUAAAUUUGUCACAAAUGUUUUUAGUAGAGCUUUCCUCAUUCCAUCUGCCACCUGCACUGAGUGAGCCUGGGUCUCUCCAGGGUCCCUAACUACAGUGGCUCUUUCAAGAGCCAUCUUCUGCCAAAAAUCAAUCCAGUUCUAAAAUUUAAAAUAGGUCCUGAAAAAUCACUACACUCCAUCACUUAGAAAAUAAGAAUAAUAACACCUAGACAUAGGGUUACAGUAAGGAGUGGCAGAUGGAAUUAGGCAUAAAAUUAGCACAGUGCCUUGUACUUAUCUCAAGAAAUUGUAUGUGUCAGGUAUUAAUUAGCCCAUGCCAACCUAAAAGGUAAUUCUAAGGAUGCCUAUAAAUACUAUAUUUCUUAUUAUAAAAAAAUAGAGUUUCAGUAUAAGAAAAUUCACUGUGAGAAAACCACUUAACUCAACUUACCUGCUCAGUGACAAAAAUCAUCUGAACAUUUAUGCUAUACAAUAUCUACAUAAAGUGAUGAAAAUGCAAAGUACAUCUCACAGCCCAUCAACAAGUACAUAUGGUAUAGAAGAAAUAUGCACUAAGCAUUAUGGAGGAAACAACGGAAAAGAUUAAUUCUCCUUGUCUUGGUAAGUGGAGGGGGCAAGAAGGGAAUAUAGAUUGAAUUUAGGGAACAGGUUAAGGUUGUGGGAAUAGAGAUAACUUUACAUUUAGAAGAAGUUCUUAGAAGAUGGUGAUUUUCCAAAGGAGAAAGGCAUAAGGACAUUCCAGAGAGGGGGAAAAAAAAGGAAAAAAAAAAAGCAUAUUGACCUUAGUUUAUAAAGAGUAAAAUCAUGUUAAUGAAGGGAGUCUCAGGUAUUUUGGGCAAGCAAGAAGAUGCUUUAAGUUGUGAAGGUUAUGCUUUUGCUCUUUGCACAGCAAAGGCAUCAAACCAUCUACUAGUUUUCUGUGUAUGAGUGUAGGUUGAAACUUAAGUUUCUCAUGUUUCCAAACUAGGUAGCAUACUAUUUAUUAUUAACCAAAUCAUUUCCUGGGUGAAAGACAUGGAUUUUACAAGACACUAGGAGAGGGACUUCAAUUAGAAAAGUUAAGUAACAUAAAAAAAAAAAGUCCCAUUCAAUGAUUUAUUUUCCUGACUACAAAUGUUAUCAAGAAUAAAAUAAUUCACUCUUAUUGUUAUUCAACUUAUUUAUUCUUCUACGAACAUUUUCUGAGCAGCGGCUCUACAACAGUCCCUUUGUAAUGUCAAGAAUUCUGCAGUGAACUAGACAUGGCCCUUGCCUUCAAGGUAUUUAUUUAAUAGGAGAGUAGAUAAAAAGUAAACAAAUACUUAAAUAAUUGCUAUAAUGGAAGUGCUAUGAAGAAAUACAGGGUGCUAUGAAAUGUAAUAAUGGGAGAAAUUCAGUAGGACAUGGAGUUAGUAAAGCAUCCCUGAGGAAAUGAUUCUUAAAAGGAGAUCUAAAAUUUGAACAGAAUUGAGCCUGGAUGUGAAUAAGGACACAUGCCUAUGAGUAUUGGUGGAGUGAAAUUCUGAGCAUGAAAGAAAAGGCAGUAGAGUUAGAUCUGAAUACAUACAGGAAGUUGACUAUGAAAGAUGACAAGUUUUAAUAUCAUCAGUGAUGGCAGAAGAUAAGAUUUAUAAGAAGGACCAGAAAAUAUAGGAACAUAAGAAUUUUGACCAUUGUC